This 486-nucleotide ribosomal RNA is filed under the name uncultured Alphaproteobacteria bacterium. RNAcentral's name for it is "bacterial SSU rRNA". It matches the Rfam family "Bacterial small subunit ribosomal RNA", at positions 33 to 543 of the family's 1533-position model. Lineage: Bacteria; Pseudomonadati; Pseudomonadota; Alphaproteobacteria. The record is from RNAcentral.
ACGCUGGCGGCAGGCCUAACACAUGCAAGUCGAACGUGAAGCUGGAGCUUGCUCCAGUGGAAAGUGGCAGACGGGUGAGUAACGCGUGGGAACCUACCUAGUAGUACGGAACAACCAUUGGAAACGAUGGCUAAUACCGUAUACGCCCUUCGGGGGAAAGAUUUAUCGCUACUAGACGGGCCCGCGUUGGAUUAGCUUGUUGGUGAGGUAACGGCUCACCAAGGCGACGAUCCAUAGCUGGUCUGAGAGGAUGAUCAGCCACACUGGGACUUAGACACGGCCCAGACUCCUACGGGAGGCAGCAGUGGGGAAUAUUGGACAAUGGGCGAAAGCCUGAUCCAGCCAUGCCGCGUGGGUGAAGAAGGCCCUAGGGUUGUAAACCCCUUUCAGCGGGGAAGAUAAUGACGGUACCCGCAGAAGAAGCCCCGGCUAACUCCGUGCCAGCAGCCGCGGUAAUACGGAGGGGGUUAGCGUUGAAGCCGAAUU